This 384-nucleotide ribosomal RNA is filed under the name Gyrodinium sp. RNAcentral describes it as "partial small subunit ribosomal RNA". It matches the Rfam family "Eukaryotic small subunit ribosomal RNA", at positions 587 to 975 of the family's 1831-position model. Lineage: Eukaryota; Dinophyceae; Gymnodiniales; Gymnodiniaceae. The record is from RNAcentral.
AGCUCCAAGAGCGUAUAUUAAAGUUGUUGCAGUUAAAAAGCUCGUAGUUGGAUUUCUGCUGAGGACGACCGGUCCGCCCUCUGGGUGAGUAUCUGGCUUGGCCUUGGCAUCUUCUUGGAGAACGUAGCUGCACCUGACUGUGUGGUGCGGUAUCCAGGACUUUUACUUUGAGGAAAUUAGAGUGUUUCAAGCAAGCACACGCCUUGAAUACAUUAGCAUGGAAUAAUAAGAUAGGACCUUGGUUUUAUUUUGCUGGUUUCUAGAGCUGAGGUAAUGAUUAAUAGGGAUAGUUGGGGGCAUUCGUAUUUAACUGUCAAAGGUGAAAUUCUUGGAUUUGUUAAAGACGGACUACUGCGAAAGCAUUUGCCAAGGAUGUUUUCAUUG